Sesamum indicum (sesame) is the source of this 2830-nucleotide non-coding RNA. The record is from RefSeq and is a predicted model, not a curated record. Lineage: Eukaryota; Viridiplantae; Streptophyta; Magnoliopsida; Lamiales; Pedaliaceae.
GAACAGUGGUACACUAAGAUGUGUGCUGUGUUUGCAAAAGAAAAGGUCCUUUUUUUUUUUGGGUUCCUGGUUUUAGCUCUCUGCUUUAUGCUGCUGCUUUUCAACGUCCUCAUCAUUCUUCACUUGUGCCUUGCUCUCUCUCUCUCUCUCUCUCUUAGUUGGCGUGUUUUCUCUUCUUAUUGAUUUACAGAAUCUCUGAGAAUGUAAGAAUUUGUCUGCCAAACCACAUUUUUUCUGUAAGAAAUUAAUCAGUCCGCUGCAACUUCAAGAAUAUCAUGAGAAUCGACAACGUAGAAUGAAGGGUCAUUUUGGUUAGUGUAGAGAGGUCAAAGUCUGAAGGAAAUCCAAUGACGUAUGUAUCCCAAAUCCUUAAUUCUCUACGUCCUUUCCUGUAUUAUAAACAAAUACUAAUAAGUUUGAAUAAAUAUCUUAGAUGAGUAGUAAGUAAUUAUAUAAAGUAAGAAAUUGUUGGUGUUAGUGCAGCGAAAAAGAGAAAAAAUUGUCAUCAUGUAAUCCAUGCAUGUUCAUGUGCCCACGCUUUUAUGUUUUUUAUAUCCUCCACCCCCCACCAAAACAAUCAUAUAAUUCAUUUCUACACCACAUGACUUUCUCACUUUUACCAUUUAUAAGCUAUUUAUUCCCCUUAAUUCAAACUCAUAAUAUAUAUAAUAUUUACAAGUAAAUUACUGCACUGGAGAAAUCAUGAUGAGAAAAAGGAUAUAUAUUAUGAGGGAUGGAGGGAGGGAGGUAAUAAGCUGCAUCUUGCUUUGGUCCCUGAGCUGAGAAUAAAUUUGGAGCCAAAGGCUGCUCAGCUUAUGAUUAAUUACACUCCACAAACACAACUACCCCAACUCCUUCUAUGCUCUCAUUACUCAUUAUUCCUACCACCCAUCUUGGGAUCAAGAGGACCCACCCCCUUGCUCUUCAAAAUUUGAGCAGAAAAGAUGUGUGUGUAUAUAUAUAUAUGUAUCUUAAUUAUUCAAGAUUGAAUUAUUAGUUAGCUGCAUAAAUUGCGGGAAAACAUGAGUAAUCCUUCCUUCCUGAUUAUGGUCACAGAGGUGGGGUAUGACUAUGCACGAACCUUUUAUCCUUGCAUUAAUUAAUGUAGGAACUAAUUGUAAGAAAGGAGACAGUUUGCCGCACAAAAGUAUUACAUCAACAACAAUCACACACAUGAAAGAAAAGGCACAUGCCUGUGCCUAUAGCUGUAUGUAUCCAUUUCCACGCCUGCUGCAUUCACAAAUAUUAUUAAAACAAAAAAUAGAUUGGUUACCCAAUAAGUAGGAUUGAAUCCAUAAGUUUUCAUUUAUCAUUUCCAAAUAGGGAGAUAUAUUCAGAUUUGUUUUAGAUAAAAGCAAAGGUGAAUUUGAGGGAGAGCUCUAGUCCAGUUUGAUGUGGGCUUCAGCGGAUCAAACCCCACCCAACUCACUUCAUUCCUUCACCUUAAGAAAAAACCUUCUCCUUCUACCUUAUUUUUAUUUUUGGGUGGUAUAUCGACAGCAAUACCAUACUGUACAUACACAUUUUUUGUAAUAUUUCUGAAAAAUAAAAUGAACUAUGCUAAUCCAAAUAGAAUUUAUUAUUUUGUGAAAAAAUAAUUAUUAUUGAAAAAAUAAAUAAAAUAAUAAGCAAAAUAUAGUAUUUUUUCAACAUAUAGAAACAAAAUGAUCGUUAUUCAAUUAAGUUUCUUUUAAAAGUGAUUUUUUUUCAAAUAUUAUCCAAUUUAGUUUUUAUCAACUUUUGACUCUUUUUUUACAAAUACAACCUACUUUUAAUUUUCUACAACUUCCACUUUUUUUUUUAUAUAAAAAUAAUUUUUUUUGCAAACACUCCCUAAGAAUCUCAAUGUAGCUAUAAUUGAGUUACAUCUUAUCACAGCUCCAACCCCCCUUUUUCGCUCCUCAGUCACCAAACUUCUAUUUACACAAAACUCAACGUGCCACCAACUAUCACAGCCAACCUCAAUAAAUGGCAAAUAUUUCCACAUUAUCAAAUGCUAUCAAAAGUUGAGCUCUAAUCACAUCAUCAUAAAAGUAUUAAUUCUGAUAGAGAAAGAGACAUUAACAAACAAGUUGGAAGCCAUUCAUGUAACGUAUGGGCCCUAAAACUCAACGUGCCAGAAAAUCAAACACCAGCCAAGAAAUUCUGGCAGAGUACUAAAUAAUUCAACAGAUGUGCUCUGCUCCCAAUUGGACAUGGGAUGCGCUCGAUUUUUCUUCCUUCUCAAAUAAAGUAAUGUAGACUCCAUUGGUAAGGCAUGUGAGCCAGAUGCAAAUUUCCAUUAAACAAAGAGACGUAACCCCAGUUCUCAAGAUUCCUUGAUUCUCCAUGCCAGCUGAAUGCAUACAAAUAUAAUUUACAAAACUUAUGUAGUCGGUUCAUAGUAUAAGAGAGAGACCACCUAAGUAUGGCAACCACGAUAUGUACAGGGCACCAAGGCAUAAAGAAUUCAAGUGCAUCGACAGCCCAUUAUUGCUGUAGCCUAACGAAACAACAAAUCUCUCAGAUAUACGACUUGGAUGCACAAAAUUUAAAUUUAGUGAGACUUAUACUACUUAAUCAGCGUCACAUAAGGUGUAACUCAAUGAAAAUUAACAAGAGAUGAAACAUAACUAUGUGGGAGAUAAUGAUUAAAAUGAUUGAUGCAAUACGAAAAAAAUGGAAUUCCAUGAUACAAUAUGGCAUUGUUGGCCACAUGUUGAUUUUCCAACCGACAACUACAGGACUUUAAAACCCAUAGACUGGACCCCAUGAUCUAGAUUACAAGUGGUGAUUUACCAGUUACGGAACUGUUCUGGGGACACAAUUUGAAGCAGAGCAACGGAACCUA